AUGUCCAUUUCCUCUUCCUUCGUGUUUAAACGCUGGUGGAGGUCCUCGUACGCCCGACCCCUUGCUUCACUUUCAACUCGCUUUGCAGUCUUCUUCGCCGCCUUGUACUUCUCUAUGUUGUCUACACUCCUAUUUAGGUGUAGGUGUCUGAAACAGUCUUUCUUCUUAAUAGCCUUCUGGACAUCAUCGCUCCACCACCAGGUAUCUUUAGCUUCGCUUGUACUACCCUUGGUCAACCCAAACUCCUAUGUAGCUACUUUUCGAAUGCAAGUCGCCAUCUUCAUCCGCAUAUUGUUUGCAUCACCUCCUUCCUCCCUCUCCUUCAAAGCCUGA
This 333-nucleotide ribosomal RNA is filed under the name Triticum aestivum (bread wheat). RNAcentral describes it as "partial small subunit ribosomal RNA". Lineage: Eukaryota; Viridiplantae; Streptophyta; Magnoliopsida; Poales; Poaceae. The record is from RNAcentral.